Molecule: ribosomal RNA, 466 nt
Filed under: uncultured bacterium
Lineage: Bacteria
Description: partial 16S ribosomal RNA
Rfam family: Bacterial small subunit ribosomal RNA
Source: RNAcentral
CCAGACUCCUACGGGAGGCAGCAGUGAGGAAUAUUGGUCAAUGGGCGCGAGCCUGAACCAGCCAAGUCGCGUGAGGGAGGACGGCCCUACGGGUUGUAAACCUCUUUUGCCGGGGAGCAACGGGCGUCACGUGUGGCGCCACUGAGAGUACCCGGAGAAAAAGCAUCGGCUAACUCCGUGCCAGCAGCCGCGGUAAUACGGAGGAUGCGAGCGUUAUCCGGAUUUAUUGGGUGUAAAGGGUGCGUAGACGGGAUUACAAGUUGGUUGUGAAACCCCUCAGCUCAACUGAGGAACUGCAACCAAAACUAUAAUUCUUGAGUGCAGGAGAGGAAAGUGGAAUUCCUAGUGUAGCGGUGAAAUGCGUAGAUAUUAGGAAGAACACCGGUGGCGAAGGCGACUUUCUGGACUGUAACUGACGUUGAGGCACGAAAGUGUGGGGAGCAAACAGGAUUAGAUACCCCUGUAC